This 251-nucleotide ribosomal RNA is filed under the name uncultured bacterium. RNAcentral describes it as "partial 16S ribosomal RNA". It matches the Rfam family "Bacterial small subunit ribosomal RNA", at positions 524 to 776 of the family's 1533-position model. The record is from RNAcentral.
UACGAAGGGGCUAGCGUUGCCCGGAAUUACUGGGCGUAAAGCGCACGUAGGCGGUCUUUUAAGUCGGGGGUGAAAUCCUGGAGCUCAACUCCAGAACUGCCUCGAUACUGGAAGACUUGAGUCCGGGAGAGGUGAGUGGAACUCCUAGUGUAGAGGUGGAAUUCGUAGAUAUUAGGAAGAACACCAGUGGCGAAGGCGGCUCACUGGUCCGGUACUGACGCUGAGGUGCGAAAGCGUGGGGAGCAAACAGG